UGGGGAAUAUUGCACAAUGGGCGCAAGCCUGAUGCAGCCAUGCCGCGUGUGUGAAGAAGGCCUUCGGGUUGUAAAGCACUUUCAGCGGGGAGGAAGGCGUUAAGGUUAAUAACCUUGGCGAUUGACGUUACCCGCAGAAGAAGCACCGGCUAACUCCGUGCCAGCAGCCGCGGUAAUACGGAGGGUGCAAGCGUUAAUCGGAAUUACUGGGCGUAAAGCGCACGCAGGCGGUCUGUCAAGUCGGAUGUGAAAUCCCCGGGCUCAACCUGGGAACUGCAUUCGAAACUGGCAGGCUAGAGUCUUGUAGAAGGGGGUAGAAUUCCAGGUGUAGCGGUGAAAUGCGUAGAGAUCUGGGGGAAUACCGGUGGCGAAUGCGGCCCCCUGGACAAAGACUGACGCUCAGGUGCGAAAGCGUGGGGAGCAAACAGG
RNAcentral lists this ribosomal RNA (429 nucleotides) under Chloroflexota bacterium. RNAcentral describes it as "Chloroflexi bacterium partial 16S ribosomal RNA". It matches the Rfam family "Bacterial small subunit ribosomal RNA", at positions 355 to 776 of the family's 1533-position model. Lineage: Bacteria; Bacillati; Chloroflexota. The record is from RNAcentral.